RNAcentral lists this ribosomal RNA (2902 nucleotides) under human gut metagenome. RNAcentral's name for it is "bacterial LSU rRNA". It matches the Rfam family "Bacterial large subunit ribosomal RNA". The record is from RNAcentral.
UUAAGCGACUAAGCGUACACGGUGGAUGCCCUGGCAGUCAGAGGCGAUGAAGGACGUGCUAAUCUGCGAUAAGCGUCGGUGAGGUGAUAUGAACCGUUAUAACCGGCGAUUUCCGAAUGGGGAAACCCAGUGUGAUUCGUCACACUAUCAUUAACUGAAUCCAUAGGUUAAUGAGGCGAACCGGGGGAACUGAAACAUCUAAGUACCCCGAGGAAAAGAAAUCAACCGAGAUUCCCCCAGUAGCGGCGAGCGAACGGGGAGGAGCCCAGAGCCUGAAUCAGUGUGUGUGUUAGUGGAAGCGUCUGGAAAGGCGCGCGAUACAGGGUGACAGCCCCGUACACAAAAAUGCACAUGCUGUGAGCUCGAUGAGUAGGGCGGGACACGUGGUAUCCUGUCUGAAUAUGGGGGGACCAUCCUCCAAGGCUAAAUACUCCUGACUGACCGAUAGUGAACCAGUACCGUGAGGGAAAGGCGAAAAGAACCCCGGCGAGGGGAGUGAAAAAGAACCUGAAACCGUGUACGUACAAGCAGUGGGAGCCUCUUUAUGGGGUGACUGCGUACCUUUUGUAUAAUGGGUCAGCGACUUAUAUUCUGUAGCAAGGUUAACCGAAUAGGGGAGCCGAAGGGAAACCGAGUCUUAACUGGGCGUUAAGUUGCAGGGUAUAGACCCGAAACCCGGUGAUCUAGCCAUGGGCAGGUUGAAGGUUGGGUAACACUAACUGGAGGACCGAACCGACUAAUGUUGAAAAAUUAGCGGAUGACUUGUGGCUGGGGGUGAAAGGCCAAUCAAACCGGGAGAUAGCUGGUUCUCCCCGAAAGCUAUUUAGGUAGCGCCUCGUGAAUUCAUCUCCGGGGGUAGAGCACUGUUUCGGCAAGGGGGUCAUCCCGACUUACCAACCCGAUGCAAACUGCGAAUACCGGAGAAUGUUAUCACGGGAGACACACGGCGGGUGCUAACGUCCGUCGUGAAGAGGGAAACAACCCAGACCGCCAGCUAAGGUCCCAAAGUCAUGGUUAAGUGGGAAACGAUGUGGGAAGGCCCAGACAGCCAGGAUGUUGGCUUAGAAGCAGCCAUCAUUUAAAGAAAGCGUAAUAGCUCACUGGUCGAGUCGGCCUGCGCGGAAGAUGUAACGGGGCUAAACCAUGCACCGAAGCUGCGGCAGCGACACUAUGUGUUGUUGGGUAGGGGAGCGUUCUGUAAGCCUGUGAAGGUGGCCUGUGAGGGUUGCUGGAGGUAUCAGAAGUGCGAAUGCUGACAUAAGUAACGAUAAAGCGGGUGAAAAGCCCGCUCGCCGGAAGACCAAGGGUUCCUGUCCAACGUUAAUCGGGGCAGGGUGAGUCGACCCCUAAGGCGAGGCCGAAAGGCGUAGUCGAUGGGAAACAGGUUAAUAUUCCUGUACUUGGUGUUACUGCGAAGGGGGGACGGAGAAGGCUAUGUUGGCCGGGCGACGGUUGUCCCGGUUUAAGCGUGUAGGCUGGUUUUCCAGGCAAAUCCGGAAAACCAAGGCUGAGGCGUGAUGACGAGGCACUACGGUGCUGAAGUGACAAAUGCCCUGCUUCCAGGAAAAGCCUCUAAGCAUCAGGUAACAUCAAAUCGUACCCCAAACCGACACAGGUGGUCAGGUAGAGAAUACCAAGGCGCUUGAGAGAACUCGGGUGAAGGAACUAGGCAAAAUGGUGCCGUAACUUCGGGAGAAGGCACGCUGAUAUGUAGGUGAAGCGACUUGCUCGUGGAGCUGAAAUCAGUCGAAGAUACCAGCUGGCUGCAACUGUUUAUUAAAAACACAGCACUGUGCAAACACGAAAGUGGACGUAUACGGUGUGACGCCUGCCCGGUGCCGGAAGGUUAAUUGAUGGGGUUAGCGGUAACGCGAAGCUCUUGAUCGAAGCCCCGGUAAACGGCGGCCGUAACUAUAACGGUCCUAAGGUAGCGAAAUUCCUUGUCGGGUAAGUUCCGACCUGCACGAAUGGCGUAAUGAUGGCCAGGCUGUCUCCACCCGAGACUCAGUGAAAUUGAACUCGCUGUGAAGAUGCAGUGUACCCGCGGCAAGACGGAAAGACCCCGUGAACCUUUACUAUAGCUUGACACUGAACACUGGUCCUUGAUGUGUAGGAUAGGUGGGAGGCUUUGAAGUGUGGACGCCAGUCUGCAUGGAGCCAUCCUUGAAAUACCACCCUUUAAUGGCUGGUGUUCUAACGUGGACCCGUGAUCCGGGUUGCGGACAGUGUCUGGUGGGUAGUUUGACUGGGGCGGUCUCCUCCUAAAGAGUAACGGAGGAGCACGAAGGUUGGCUAAUCCUGGUCGGACAUCAGGAGGUUAGUGCAAUGGCAUAAGCCAGCUUGACUGCGAGCGUGACGGCGCGAGCAGGUGCGAAAGCAGGUCAUAGUGAUCCGGUGGUUCUGAAUGGAAGGGCCAUCGCUCAACGGAUAAAAGGUACUCCGGGGAUAACAGGCUGAUACCGCCCAAGAGUUCAUAUCGACGGCGGUGUUUGGCACCUCGAUGUCGGCUCAUCACAUCCUGGGGCUGAAGUAGGUCCCAAGGGUAUGGCUGUUCGCCAUUUAAAGUGGUACGCGAGCUGGGUUUAGAACGUCGUGAGACAGUUCGGUCCCUAUCUGCCGUGGGCGCUGGAGAACUGAGGGGGGCUGCUCCUAGUACGAGAGGACCGGAGUGGACGCAUCACUGGUGUUCGGGUUGUCAUGCCAAUGGCACUGCCCGGUAGCUAAAUGCGGAAGAGAUAAGUGCUGAAAGCAUCUAAGCACGAAACUUGCCCCGAGAUGAGUUCUCCCUGAGACUUAGAGUCUCCUGAAGGAACGUUGAAGACGACGACGUUGAUAGGCCGGGUGUGUAAGCGCAGCGAUGCGUUGAGCUAACCGGUACUAAUGAACCGUGAGGCUUAACCUU